Molecule: ribosomal RNA, 719 nt
Filed under: uncultured bacterium
Lineage: Bacteria
Description: bacterial SSU rRNA
Rfam family: Bacterial small subunit ribosomal RNA
Source: RNAcentral
UGGCGGCGUGCCUAAUACAUGCAAGUCGAGCGAACGGACGAGAAGCUUGCUUCUCUGAUGUUAGCGGCGGACGGGUGAGUAACACGUGGAUAACCUACCUAUAAGACUGGGAUAACUUCGGGAAACCGGAGCUAAUACCGGAUAAUAUUUUGAACCGCAUGGUUCAAAAGUGAAAGACGGUCUUGCUGUCACUUAUAGAUGGAUCCGCGCUGCAUUAGCUAGUUGGUAAGGUAACGGCUUACCAAGGCAACGAUGCAUAGCCGACCUGAGAGGGUGAUCGGCCACACUGGAACUGAGACACGGUCCAGACUCCUACGGGAGGCAGCAGUAGGGAAUCUUCCGCAAUGGGCGAAAGCCUGACAGAGCAACGCCGCGUGAGUGAUGAAGGUCUUCGGAUCGUAAAACUCUGUUAUUAGGGAAGAACAUAUGUGUAAGUAACUGUGCACAUCUUGACGGUACCUAAUCAGAAAGCCACGGCUAACUACGUGCCAGCAGCCGCGGUAAUACGUAGGUGGCAAGCGUUAUCCGGAAUUAUUGGGCGUAAAGCGCGCGUAGGCGGUUUUUUAAGUCUGAUGUGAAAGCCCACGGCUCAACCGUGGAGGGUCAUUGGAAACUGGAAAACUUGAGUGCAGAAGAGGAAAGUGGAAUUCCAUGUGUAGCGGUGAAAUGCGCAGAGAUAUGGAGGAACACCAGUGGCGAAGGCGACUUUCUGGUCUGUA